UACGAAGGGGGCUAGCGUUGCUCGGAAUUACUGGGCGUAAAGCGCGUGUAGGUGGUGGGACAAGUCUGCUGUGAAAGCGCCUGGCUUAACCGGGCGAGGUCGGCGGAAACUGUCCGACUCGAGGACGGUAGAGGGGGGUGGAAUUCCCGGUGUAGUGGUGAAAUGCGUAGAGAUCGGGAGGAACACCUGUGGCGAAGGCGGCCCCCUGGGCCGGCCCUGACACUGAGACGCGAAGGCGUGGGGAGCGAACGGG
This 253-nucleotide ribosomal RNA is filed under the name uncultured bacterium. RNAcentral's name for it is "partial 16S ribosomal RNA". It matches the Rfam family "Bacterial small subunit ribosomal RNA", at positions 524 to 776 of the family's 1533-position model. The record is from RNAcentral.